GUAGGGUGCAAGCGUUAAUCGGAAUUACUGGGCGUAAAGCGUGCGCAGGCGGUUAUGUAAGACAGAUGUGAAAUGCCCGGGCUUAACCUGGGAACUGCAUUUGUGACUGCAUGGCUAGAGUUUGGCAGAGGGGGGUAGAAUUCCACGUGUAGCAGUGAAAUGCGUAGAUAUGUGGAGGAACACCGAUGGCGAAGGCAGCCCCCUGGGUCAAGACUGACGCUCAUGCACGAAAGCGUGGGGAGCAAACAGGAUUAGAUACCCUGGUAGUCCACGCCCUAAACGAUGUCUACUAGUUGUCGGGUCUUAAUUGACUUGGUAACGCAGCUAACGCGUGAAGUAGACCGCCUGGGGAGUACGGUCGCAAGAUUA
Molecule: ribosomal RNA, 369 nt
Filed under: uncultured bacterium
Lineage: Bacteria
Description: bacterial SSU rRNA
Rfam family: Bacterial small subunit ribosomal RNA
Source: RNAcentral